Molecule: ribosomal RNA, 497 nt
Filed under: uncultured bacterium
Lineage: Bacteria
Description: partial 16S ribosomal RNA
Rfam family: Bacterial small subunit ribosomal RNA
Source: RNAcentral
GAUGAACGCUGGCGGCGUGCCUAAUACAUGCAAGUCGAACGAACAGACCAGGAGCUUGCUCCUCUGACGUUAGCGGCGGUCGGGUGAGUAACACGUGGUUAACCUACCUAUAAGACUGGGAUAACUUCGGGAAACCGUAGCUUAUACCGGAUGAUAUAUUGAACCGCAUGGUUCAAUAGUUAAAGACGGUUUUGCUGUGACUUAUAGAUUGAUCCGCGCCGCAUUAGCUAGUUGGUAAGGUAACGGCUUAACAAGGCAACGAUGCGUAGCCGACCUGAGAGGGUGAUCGGCAACGCUGGAACGGAGACACGGUCCAGAAUACUGCGAGAGGGAGCAGGAGCGAAUCUUUCGGGAAGGGAGAAAUGGUGAAGGAGCAACGACGCGUGAGUGACGGAUGUAGCCAGAUCGUGAAACUCUGUUAUUAGUUAAGAACAAAUAUGUAAGUAACUAGGGACGACUAGAAGAUAACUGAUCAGAAAGCCACGGCUAAAUACGUG